RNAcentral lists this small RNA (728 nucleotides) under Pongo abelii (Sumatran orangutan). RNAcentral's name for it is "retained intron". The record is from RNAcentral. Lineage: Eukaryota; Metazoa; Chordata; Mammalia; Primates; Hominidae.
GAGGUCAAUCACUACAAGGGGAAGAACUACCCCAUCAUGAAUCUGCAUGAGCGGACCCUGAGCGUGCUGGCCUGCCGGGUGAGUGGGGGCCAGGAGCCAGCCCAAGGAUGGGACAUUCCCACAACAUCCCCCGACCAAGGGCCUCCCUGAGCCAGGGCAGGGGGGCUUGGGUCACUGGCAGAGCCACACCCAGCACCCCGAGUUCUGUGGCACCUGCCCAUACCUGUUUGUUGAGGCAGGAGGAGGGGUGGUCAGGUCUCCAGGUGCUGUUCCUUCUUGCCUCAUGGAGGAGCCCCAGGGGUCCCCAGCCUGCCCAGCCCAUCCCUGCUACUCACUGGCAGCCCCGCCCCAUGUCUGGGCCGUCUCUCACCACCCUGUGGCCCUGGCUUACCAGUAGCAGGGACCGAGCAAGUCUUUCUGCCCCCACUGUCCCCACAGUACGUGUCAGAAGUGGUGAUUGGGGCCCCGUACGCGGUCACAGCAGAGCUCCUGAGUCACUUCAAGGUGGACCUGGUGUGUCACGGCAAGACAGAAAUCAUCCCUGACAGGGAUGGCUCCGACCCAUACCAGGAGCCCAAGAGAAGGGGCAUCUUCCAUCAGAUUGACAGUGGCAGCAACCUCACCACAGACCUCAUCGUCCAGCGGAUCAUCACCAACAGGUUGGAGUAUGAGGCGCGAAACCAGAAGAAGGAAGCCAAGGAGCUGGCCUUCCUGGAGGCCGCCAGGCG